GGCGCCCAGGCGCGAUUCUUUACAAUGCGGGAAACCGUGAUAAGGGGACACCGAGUGCCGGCAUCAUAUGCUGGCUGUCCAGGUGUGUAAAAUACACCUGUCAGCAAGGGCCGGGCAAGACCGGUGCCAGCCGCCGCGGUAACACCGGCGGCCCGAGUGGUGAUCGUGAUUAUUGGGUCUAGAGGGUCCGUAGCCGGUUUGGUCAGUCCUCCGGGAAAUCUGACGGCUCAACCGUUAGGCUUUCGGGGGAUACUGCCAGGCUUGGAACCGGGAGAGGUAAGAGGUACUACAGGGGUAGGAGUGAAAUCUUGUAAUCCCUGUGAGACCACCUGUGGCGAAGGCGUCUUACCAGAACGGGUUCGACGGUGAGGGACGAAAGCUGGGGGCACGAACCGGAUUAGAUACCCGGGUAGUCCCAGCCGUAAACGAUGCUCGCUAGGUGUCAGGCAUGGCGCGACCGUGUCUGGUGCCGCAGGGAAGCCGUGAAGCGAGCCACCUGGGAAGUACGGCCGCAAGGCUGAAACUUAAAGGAAUUGGCGGGGGAGCAC
Molecule: ribosomal RNA, 548 nt
Filed under: uncultured archaeon
Lineage: Archaea
Description: bacterial SSU rRNA
Rfam family: Archaeal small subunit ribosomal RNA
Source: RNAcentral